AUGCUUACUUAGGCAGCUUAUAUACUAAAAUUGGAAUGAUACAGAGAGGAUUUCGUGGCCCCUGUGCAAGGACGACAUGAAAAUUCAUGAAGCAUUUCAUAUUUUU
This 106-nucleotide small nuclear RNA is filed under the name Aotus nancymaae (Ma's night monkey). The record is from RNAcentral. Lineage: Eukaryota; Metazoa; Chordata; Mammalia; Primates; Aotidae.